This 385-nucleotide ribosomal RNA is filed under the name uncultured bacterium. RNAcentral's name for it is "bacterial SSU rRNA". It matches the Rfam family "Bacterial small subunit ribosomal RNA", at positions 370 to 772 of the family's 1533-position model. The record is from RNAcentral.
AAUGGGCGAAAGCCUGAUGCAGCGACGCCGCGUGAGGGAAGACGGUUUUCGGAUUGUAAACCUCUGUCUUCGGGGACGAAACAAGACGGUACCCGAGGAGGAAGCCACGGCUAACUACGUGCCAGCAGCCGCGGUAAUACGUAGGUGGCGAGCGUUGUCCGGAAUUACUGGGUGUAAAGGGAGUGUAGGCGGGGCUUCAAGUCCGUUGUGAAACCGAUCGGCUCAACUGAUCGUUGCGGCGGAAACUGGAGCUCUUGAGUGAGGUAGAGGCAGGCGGAAUUCCCAGUGUAGCGGUGAAAUGCGUAGAUAUUGGGAGGAACACCAGUGGCGAAGGCGGCCUGCUGGGCCUUAACUGACGCUGAGGCUCGAAAGUGUGGGGAGCAAA